AAGUCGUAACAAGGUCUCCGUUGGUGAACCAGCGGAGGGAUCAUUAUCGAGUUAAAUAUAACUCCAACCCAUGUGAACUUACCUUUGUUGCCUCGGUGGGACCUACCCUGUAGCUACCCUAUACCUACCCUGUAGCGUGGAGGGGAGCUACCCGGUAGCGGACCACCGGUGGAUUUUCAAACUCUUGUUAUUUUAGUGUCAUCUGAGCGUCUUAUUUUAAAUAAGUCAAAACUUUCAACAACGGAUCUCUUGGUUCUG
RNAcentral lists this unclassified non-coding RNA (258 nucleotides) under fungal sp. RNAcentral's name for it is "partial internal transcribed spacer region". The stretch from base 1 to 46 matches the Rfam family "Eukaryotic small subunit ribosomal RNA", at positions 1786 to 1831 of the family's 1831-position model. The record is from RNAcentral. Lineage: Eukaryota; Fungi.